UGCUGCCGUCGAUUUCGACGGCUCGUCUGAAAUGCCUGAGUGUACCCCACUUUUGUGGCGUAUUCGGUGUGAUACAUCUUCACCGGAGUUGAUCCUUUGGGGUCGCGUCUGUAAUGUGUGGCUCUAUGCUUCCAACCGUCUCUCGAGACAAUCUCUGACAAUUUGACCUCAAAUCGGGUGGGACUACCCGCUGAACUUAA
This 200-nucleotide unclassified non-coding RNA is filed under the name soil metagenome. RNAcentral describes it as "partial contains internal transcribed spacer 2 and large subunit ribosomal RNA". The record is from RNAcentral.